GUUGAACGCUGGCGGUAUGCUUAACACAUGCAAGUCGAACGGUAGCAUAGAGAGCUUGCUCUCUGAUGACGAGUGGCGGACGGGUGAGUAUAACGUAGGAAUCUGCCUAGUAGCUGGGGGUAAGCCAGAGGAAUUUGGUCUAAUACCGAAUACGCCCUACGGGGGAAAGCGGGGGCUCUUCGGACCUCGCACUAUUAGAUGAGCCUACGCCGGAUUAGCUAGUUGGUGGGGUAAUGGCCCACCAAGGCGACGAUCCGUAGCUGGUCUGAGAGGAUGAUCAGCCACACUGGGACUGAGACACGGCCCAG
RNAcentral lists this ribosomal RNA (308 nucleotides) under uncultured bacterium. RNAcentral's name for it is "bacterial SSU rRNA". It matches the Rfam family "Bacterial small subunit ribosomal RNA", at positions 28 to 334 of the family's 1533-position model. The record is from RNAcentral.